This 575-nucleotide ribosomal RNA is filed under the name uncultured Glomeromycotina. RNAcentral's name for it is "SSU rRNA". It matches the Rfam family "Eukaryotic small subunit ribosomal RNA", at positions 548 to 1114 of the family's 1831-position model. Lineage: Eukaryota; Fungi; Glomeromycota. The record is from RNAcentral.
UUGGAGGGCAAGUCUGGUGCCAGCAGCCGCGGUAAUUCCAGCUCCAAUAGCGUAUAUUAAAGUUGUUGCAGUUAAAAAGCUCGUAGUUGAAUUUCGGGAUUGACGUGAUGGUAUGCCUUAAGAGGUAUGAACUGUUACUGUUGAUUUCUCACCUUCUGGAGAAACUUGAUGUCCUUUAUUGGGUGUCUUGCGGAUCCAGGACCUUUACCUUGAAAAAAUUAGAGUGUUUGUUUAAAGCAGGCAUUUUUGCUCGAAUACAUUAGCAUGGGGUAAUAGAAUAGGACGGUAUGGUUCUAUUUUGUUGGUUUCUAGGAUCACCGUAAUGAUUAAUAGGGAUAGUUGGGGGCAUUAGUAUUCAAUUGUCAGAGGUGAAAUUCUUGGAUUUAUUGAAGACUAACUACUGCGAAAGCAUUUACCAAGGAUGUUUUCAUUAAUCAAGAACGAAAGUUAGGGAAUCGAAGACGAUCAGAUACCGUCGUAGUCUUAACCAUAAACUAUGCCGACUAGGAAUCAGACGAUGUUAAUUUUUUAAUGACUCGUUUGGCACCUUACGGGAAACCAAAGUGUUUGGGUUC